RNAcentral lists this transfer RNA (76 nucleotides) under Elusimicrobia bacterium RIFOXYB2_FULL_49_7. RNAcentral describes it as "tRNA-Lys". It matches the Rfam family "tRNA". Rfam says of the family: Transfer RNA (tRNA) molecules are approximately 80 nucleotides in length. Lineage: Bacteria; Pseudomonadati; Elusimicrobiota. The record is from RNAcentral.
GCGUCUGUAGCUCAGUUGGUAGAGCAGCUGACUCUUAAUCAGCGGGCCAAAGGUUCAAAUCCUUUCAGACGCACCA